AAUCAACGCUGGCGGCGUGCCUCAGACAUGCAAGUCGAACGAUUAAGACUCUCUUCGGAGAGUGCAUAAAGUGGCGCACGGGUGAGUAACACGUAAGUAAUCUACCCUCGAGUGGGGAAUAACGUCCGGAAACGGACGCUAAUACCGCAUAAUGCAGCGGCACCGCAAGGUGACAGUUGUUAAAGAUUUAUCGCUUGAGGAGGAGCUUGCGGCAGAUUAGCUAGUUGGUAAGGUAAUGGCUUACCAAGGCUACGAUCUGUAACCGGUCUAAGAGGACGGUCGGUCACACUGACACUGAAUAACGGGUCAGACUCCUACGGGAGGCAGCAGUCGGGAAUUUGGGCAAUGGGCGAAAGCCUGACCCAGCAACGCCGCGUGAAGGAUGAAGUAUUUCGGUAUGUAAACUUCGAAAGAAUAGGAAGAAUAAAUGACGGUACUAUUUAUAAGGUCCGGCUAACUACGUGCCAGCCGCCGCAGU
RNAcentral lists this ribosomal RNA (478 nucleotides) under uncultured bacterium. RNAcentral describes it as "bacterial SSU rRNA". It matches the Rfam family "Bacterial small subunit ribosomal RNA", at positions 32 to 521 of the family's 1533-position model. The record is from RNAcentral.